Molecule: RNA transcript, 895 nt
Organism: Suricata suricatta (meerkat)
Lineage: Eukaryota; Metazoa; Chordata; Mammalia; Carnivora; Herpestidae
Gene: C13H9orf85
Gene name: chromosome 13 C9orf85 homolog
Exons: 4
Source: RefSeq, a predicted model, not a curated record
GAAGCGUGGUCUCCAUUGAGUAGUUCCUGGCAUCUUGGUCUUCUCCGCGUCUUCCUUGUAUCAACGGGAGGUGAUUGUGGUUUCCACGAUGAGUUCCCAGAAAGGGAACGUGGCUCGUUCCAGGCCUCAGAGGCACCAGAAUACGUUUAGCUUCAAAAAUGACAAGUUUGAUAAGAGUAUUCAGACCAAGAAAAUUAAUGCAAAGCUUCACGAUGGAGUUUGCCAGCACUGUAAAGAAGUUCUUGAAUGGCGUGUAAAAUACAGCAAAUACAAACCAUUGUCAAAGCCUAAGAAAUGAAUAUUCUCAUCAGGAAUCUUGCCGAAGGUUCUGGGGUUCAGAGCGGCAGGUGGUGUUUCUCUUCUUGACUGCUCUGACACCUGUGUACUUCUCGAGAAGGGAUGUCGACCUUCCUUUGCUUCUUUAUUGCAUCCUGGACUUCAGUAGUGCUGGUGAAAGGACUGCCUCGCCACGGAAAUUGGGGCUGCCUCUUUCCAUUUUGUGGGAGUCAAUGUGUUUGGCGACCAAUAAUAAUCACUUUUGUAAGACUCUAGAUCUAAUAUUAAUGGAUGGGGUAAAGGUCCUGGCUUUUGUUAGGAAGGGACAGUUAUUUUAAAUCAUGAUGAAUGUCGUAUAUCUAAGCUAGAAGUACUUUCAUUCUGAGAGUAGGACAAAGAACACUGAACAGCCCGUGCGUAAGGAGAAAUGCAAGACAUGAAAAAAACGAAAGUCUGGAACUCCUGUCCUAUCUCGGCAACUUCCUCAUGAGCUUUAUCCAUGACCCAGUCUCAAGGGAGCAGUCCCUUGUUGGUGUUAAAUGUUUACAAAAGUCAGUGAAAGAUUCUUAUCACAUAAUGUGUAGACCAUGUGCCUGUGAACUUGAAGUUUGUGCAAAAU